Molecule: long non-coding RNA, 2193 nt
Organism: Symphalangus syndactylus (siamang)
Lineage: Eukaryota; Metazoa; Chordata; Mammalia; Primates; Hylobatidae
Source: RefSeq, a predicted model, not a curated record
CUGAGGGAUCACAUGGCAUGGCCUCCAGAGCCCCAUCUGAACACCACGUGGACAGCACUUCAGUCUGCGUGUUCUCUUGGAGUAGCAGACUGGCCCUUUUCCCGAGAGGCUGGAGCAGGCAAGAGGGAGAGUGGAAGGAUUUUGAGAUGUUUCCUGAGCGAUGAAUGCAACCCCACCUUUUGGCAUUCUCUCAAGGACUGCAGAAAAGCCUUCAGCUGGUCUUUUGAUGAUCUCUGGGUAUGAGACCAAUGUUUCUGUGAAUGUGACUCAUGCUGAGGUUGACUUCAAGGAGGAGGCGAAAUGGCCUGGCUCUAAGAGGGUUACACUUGAUUCCUUCGUUUAUUUGCUCUUUCAACAAAUAGUUUUUGGCCUCCCACGAAGUGUCAGGCAUUGUGCUGGGAAGGGGGGUGGCAGUGGUGAGGACAGAGUAGAUGUGGUUUCUGCCCUUAUGGGGAAGAAGGGAAGACAGAUGUGACUCUAGUAGUUACAUGAAUGGAAACAAUUACACACAGUUUUAAGCUCUACCCCCAAAGAAGCAAAAGCUGCUGAGAGAACGUGGAACAGGGACUGGCCAGUGGGUUUUGGGCAUCACGAUAAUAACACUUAGGGAGUACUAAUGGUGCUGGGUGGGCUGGGCUGCAGCUGCGGCACUGGUUGUUAGCUUGGUUAGCUGGCUGUAACCUGUGUUGUAUCAGUUCUUCAAUAUUCUGUUAUCUUCAGGGCCACGUGCUGUUCCCAGCACGUCACUCGUACAUAUUUACUCAUUUCAUCCUUACCCCUAUGAGAUAAGAACUCUUGUUAUUUUACAGAUUGAGAAACUGAGGCACCGAAAGCUUGAGUACAUUUUCCAAUAAUAUACAGCUAACAAGUAGCGGGUGAGGGUUUGAACGCAGGCCCUCUGGCUUCAGAAUCUAGCCUUUCUCCAUUCCGCUCCUAAUGCUUCUGGUGGAUGAGUGAGUUUAACGAGCACUGUGGAAAGAAACACUGUCGGUGGGCUUUCCAGUGCUGGUUUCCUGGCAGCCCUCUCCUCCUCUGGGGUUGUGGACGUCCCGGGCUGACCCUGGCCACCGGAAAACCUGGACUGGAUCAUCCUUGAUAUGGUCGCUAUGGCUGUGUCCCCACUCAAAUCUCAUCUUGAAUUGUAGCUCCCAUAAUUCUCACAUGUUGUGGGAGGGACCUGGUGGGAGAUAAUUGAAUUAUGGGGGCAGUUUCCCCUAUACCAUUCUCGUGGUAGUGAAUAAGUCUCAAGAGAUCUGCUGGUCUUAUAAGGGGAAGCCCCUUUUGCUUGUCUCUCAUUUCUCUCCUGCCUGCCACCAUGUAAGACAUGCCUUUUGCCUUCCGCAGUGAUUGUGAGGCCUCUCAAGCCACGUGGAACUAUGGAGUCUCAAUAUGUCGCCCAGGCUGGAGUGUGAUGGUGCCAACAUAGCUCAUUGCAGCCUUGAACACCCAGGCUCAAGUGAUCCUCCCACCUCAGCCUCCCAAGUAGCUGAGACUACAGAACUGAAGACCUGAGCUGUGACGGCGCAAGGGCCCUCGGCACCUCGGCCAUUAGCAGAGGGACUGGCAGUUGCACAGGCCAGAAAGGAGCCCACCUGUAGGAAAAAGAUAAGUCUGAUGAGCCAGCCUCAGUUUCCCUAGCUAGAAAAUGUGGGCAUGGGACCAGGAGAUCAUACCCACAGCUACUAACAUUAACCUCUUGCUAUGUAUCACACUCCUUUCUUGGGCCUUCUGGGAAUCCAUCCUGAGCUGGCCGGACUCACCAUUCCUACCUCAGCCCCUGCCACUCUCCCCACACCAUCCUGCCAUCUUUCAACCUCACCAGACGGAUGUAUGCCAAGCCUGUUCCUGCCUCAGGGCCUUUGUACGUGCUGUUCCCUCUGCAGAAUGUCUUCCCGUGGUCUUUCCUGACUGGCUGCUUGCCAUCACCUCUUCAGAGAAGCCCUCCAUCAUCACCCUGCCUCAAGUAGCUUCCCAGUCACUUGCCUUUACAGUACGCAGUUUUGUUCUUUGUUGUCACUCUAUUUUAUUCCCCAUGUUGUCACUCUAUUCCCCUUCCGGCAUGGGUGCUGCAUUAAAUCGGGAACCUUGUUCCUUCUGGUAUCUGGGGUGUCCCACUGCUACCCCCAUGUGAGUGCCUGGCACAUAUAGAUACUUGAUACCUGCUUGCUGAAUAAAUGAAUAAGUGCAACUUGA